RNAcentral lists this long non-coding RNA (365 nucleotides) under Cricetulus griseus (Chinese hamster). RNAcentral describes it as "lncRNA (ENSCGRG00000025455.1)". Lineage: Eukaryota; Metazoa; Chordata; Mammalia; Rodentia; Cricetidae. The record is from RNAcentral.
UCUGGAUCAUCUGGGAGGAAAAAGAAUUUAGUACGUACCCACGGAAGAUGGUAUGUCUUUCCACACAUCAAGGAUCUUCUUGAAGAGUUGUUCAUUUGCUUCCUCGGAGGCAGCUUCAGCAUUGAAGGAGAGCAUCACGCCAAUUCCCAAGCAAUCAGACCUCAGCAGACAGCUGGAAACCUGCCAGAGAAGGAGGCCUUGGAAACAAGUUGGAAGACAUUGGAGAGACUUUAACCAAAACAAACAACAGCAGGGGAUGUGGUUGGCAGUACCAAAAAAGCAAGGGACUCUGUGAGUCACUCUCACAUUAACUUUGAAUGGUAUCAUAUUUCCAUUUUGUUGUAUAGGUUAGUUGUUUAACAGCU